Molecule: long non-coding RNA, 2540 nt
Organism: Amphiprion ocellaris (clown anemonefish)
Lineage: Eukaryota; Metazoa; Chordata; Actinopteri; Pomacentridae
Exons: 2
Source: RefSeq, a predicted model, not a curated record
CGCAUCACAUUUAAUCAACUGACUUCAUUUCUGAGUGCCGAUUGCUGCUUUGGGGUCGAGUUUCCCCUCUUGAAGGCGAUUAUGUGGUAACCCCAUCUCCAGCGUUUGAGGAAGGACGUAAACAUGCAAUUAAAGUUCCUGUUUCCUCCAGUGAGACGAGGCCGAGCUCUGUGGUCGGACGGAGCCGAGCCUUUCCAGCAGGCGUGUUGGCGAUAAAGAGAUCGUGGAGACGAGAACGUCAUUCCUGGUUUCCCACAGAAUUCAAGCAACAUGACGUCUGGAGCAGAAGAUCCCUCUCAUGUUCAGUCUUCAUCUCCCUGUUGUUGUGCAUCUGGUUUCCUUUAUACGACUCUAGAUGUCCCUUUAUUCUUCAUCUGUCUUCAUCUUCAUUUACUCUGGAUAAGCUUUAGUACAAACAACAUCACCAGCUCCUCCUCCUACUUCCCUCCUUUGAAUCUUCUCUGCGUCCUCUUGCCUCCUGACAUCUGUCCCAGAGCUGAGGGAGUUUUUCUGGAGUAAUAACAGGCUGAUGACCGGAGCAGCUCCACCACAUGUGAGCUUCCUCUGGGUCAAACCCGAGUCUGUUUGUUUGGUUCCGGAGGCUCCAUUCAAAGCUGGAAGCCGUCGGGCUCUUUGUCGGCAGCAACAACAAGCUUUUGUUUCCACUCAUAAUAAGGCUGGUUCAGUUUGAUGGUUCAGACUGGAACUACUGGUUCUAAAAGCGGAGUUUGUUUUGGUGUUUACCUUCGAUUCUUUGUAGCUCAGCUUGAAGAGCAAAACAUAAUAUUGAUGUACAAUGUGCAACCUUACUCCCUUUGUCAUGUACUGUACUUCAUGCUGACCCAACUGACCAAAGCUAAAUAUCCAACUGUAAAGCUGUUUGAUAACCCGAGCAACUCCACGACACAACUUCACCUGACUAGCUCCUUAACUCACUAGUCAGUUAGUGGAUUAACAGACAAAACUAACUACAAAACUGAUUGACCAGCAGGAAAACACAGAUCAUCUAAGUUUUUUCCAACAAAGUGUUUUGACGUCUGCAUCAGAAUCAUGUUUAUUAGAGAACAGCUUUAAACCGUGGUAAUUAGGAAGCAGAUAUACAACAACUUACCAAAUACAUCAGCUGGAUGGAGCAGAGCAUGAUGGGAUGCCACAGGAUAGGAAGAAGGCAGUUUGUUAGAAAAAGAAAAAAAACAUAACGUUAACUUUUACAUCCUCAUGUAUUUUCAUGCACCUUUUAACCAUCUAAACCCCAAAAUCCACUCGCAGGUUAGUAAAAAAAAAAAAAAAAAAAAGCACCAUUUAUUAGUCAGAAGCUGUAAAAUGCAUCAUUAGAUUUCUAACUUGCACAUCGUGUCUUUUUCCACAGUGUAAGCUGAUCCGUUCCAACCCCACAGUGUGUGGAACAGCCUCCCCAUCUUCCAAGCCUGAUAUCCUGAUUUUCAAUGUUCCUUGAAUUUCUCAUCUAUAUGACAUAGUGUACUGUUGGAAAAUUUAACCAAACCUAAGCUUCAAAUAAUGACAUUGCAUCAAAAUGACUUCAUUCUGUAUUUUAAAUAAAUCUGAUUCUGUUUUAAAAAUGAAAUUAAAUAAUAAUAAUAAUAAUAAUAAUAAUAAUAAUAAUAAUAAAAACAGAACAAAAUUUGACCUUGAAGCUGUAAAACUGGAAAGAACGAUCAGAUUUUUAACUUUCACAGUCCAUAAACCUCUAAUCUGCUGUUUUAUCAGAAAAUUCAAUUAAAUCUAUGCUUGAAAAUGUAGUAUUUAACCAAAAUUACUUCAUUCUUUGUCUCAUUUAAAAAUAUACCUAAAUUAAAUCGUUUGCACUGACCACAUUUUGUAAAAAAACUGAAAAUUUUGUUCUUCUUGGUGAAACUGAAAAGUGAUUCGUGACUCAGCUGCAACUAACAGUCACGUGACAAAAAAACCUGAGACUUUUCUGCUGAGCUGCAGGCCGUGUUUACAUGGAGACAAAUUAAAAGUGGAACUAGCUGAAUAUCUAUAGUAUGUACAGACACCAUUUUUUCAAGUAUUACUAACACCUGUGGGCCUUUAGAAAAUUUUUUUUUGGUUGUAUCUUUUCUUAAUAAUUAAAUCAACUUUUUUUGUUUCAUAAGAUUUAUGGCAUUAAAAUUGUGUCAUACAGAACAAAAGACAUUUCUGAGUUCUCUCUACUUCUCAUCAUGGUUAUUCUACAUGUCUCAAUUGAAAAAAUUACCAAAAAUUAACUGUUUGCACUAACUAGAUUCUGUAAAAAGCCCAAAAAUUCUGCACUGCUUGUUGUAUUCAGAAAGCUAUUAGCUAUUUUGCUGUGACCAACAGACGCAUGACAAAAAUUCAGGGACUUUUUGGAUGAACUGCAGGCAAUGUUUACACAGAGCAGAAUGUAUGGAAAGUAUGGAAGCAAAAUAAUAUUUGAAACUGUAAAAAACAGCACGUAGAAUCAUAAUUUUUUCAGUAUUUUUAACACCUGUAUUCACUUGGAAAAAUGUACAUUCCGGGUUCUAAUUUUUUUGUGAAAUAAAACACAUUUACCAAUG